This 369-nucleotide ribosomal RNA is filed under the name Escherichia coli. RNAcentral's name for it is "partial 23S ribosomal RNA". It matches the Rfam family "Bacterial large subunit ribosomal RNA", at positions 2259 to 2627 of the family's 2925-position model. The record is from RNAcentral. Lineage: Bacteria; Pseudomonadati; Pseudomonadota; Gammaproteobacteria; Enterobacterales; Enterobacteriaceae. RNAcentral also lists the same sequence under 2 other names.
UGGUGGGUAGUUUGACUGGGGCGGUCUCCUCCUAAAGAGUAACGGAGGAGCACGAAGGUUGGCUAAUCCUGGUCGGACAUCAGGAGGUUAGUGCAAUGGCAUAAGCCAGCUUGACUGCGAGCGUGACGGCGCGAGCAGGUGCGAAAGCAGGUCAUAGUGAUCCGGUGGUUCUGAAUGGAAGGGCCAUCGCUCAACGGAUAAAAGGUACUCCGGGGAUAACAGGCUGAUACCGCCCAAGAGUUCAUAUCGACGGCGGUGUUUGGCACCUCGAUGUCGGCUCAUCACAUCCUGGGGCUGAAGUAGGUCCCAAGGGUAUGGCUGUUCGCCAUUUAAAGUGGUACGCGAGCUGGGUUUAGAACGUCGUGAGAC